RNAcentral lists this long non-coding RNA (219 nucleotides) under Pan troglodytes (chimpanzee). Its description in RNAcentral is "long non-coding RNA NONPTRT013252". The record is from RNAcentral. Lineage: Eukaryota; Metazoa; Chordata; Mammalia; Primates; Hominidae.
GCUGCUGGCUUACAAUAUGAAGUUGGAGACAAAUGUCAAGUUAGAUUGGAUCACAAUGGAAAAUUUUUGAAUGCAGAUGUUCAAGGAGUUCAUUCUGAGAAUGGACCAGUUUUGGUUGAAGAACUGGGAAAGAAGCACACAUCAAAGAACCUCAAGGCACCUCCCCCAGAAAGCUGGAACACAGUGUCAGGGAAGAAGAUGAAAAAACCUUCCACUUCU